Molecule: ribosomal RNA, 549 nt
Filed under: uncultured bacterium
Lineage: Bacteria
Description: bacterial SSU rRNA
Rfam family: Bacterial small subunit ribosomal RNA
Source: RNAcentral
UGGGGAAUAUUGGACAAUGGGCGAAAGCCUGAUCCAGCAAUACCGCGUGUGUGAAGAAGGCCUUAGGGUUGUAAAGCACUUUCAAUUGGGAGGAAAACCUAUCGACCAAUACCCGAUAGCUUGACAUUACCUUUAGAAGAAGCACCGGCUAACUCCGUGCCAGCAGCCGCGGUAAUACGGAGGGUGCGAGCGUUAAUCGGAAUUACUGGGCGUAAAGCGUGCGUAGGCGGUUCGUUAAGUCAGAUGUGAAAGCCCUGGGCUCAACCUGGGAACUGCAUUUGAAACUGGCGGACUAGAGUUUAGUAGAGGGGAGUGGAAUUUCAGGUGUAGCGGUGAAAUGCGUAGAUAUCUGAAGGAACACCAGUGGCGAAGGCGACUCCCUGGACUAGAACUGACGCUGAGGUACGAAAGCGUGGGUAGCAAACAGGAUUAGAUACCCUGGUAGUCCACGCCGUAAACGAUGUCGACUAGCCGUUGGCCCUAUUUACAGGGUUAGUGGCGCAGCUAACGCAUUAAGUCGACCGCCUGGGGAGUACGGCCGCAAGGUUA